AUGGCUCAGGAUGAACGCUAGCGACAGGCUUAACACAUGCAAGUCGAGGGGCAGCACGGGAGUAGCAAUACUUGGUGGCGACCGGCGCACGGGUGAGUAACGCGUAUGCAACCUACCUAUCAGAGGGGAAUAACCCGGCGAAAGUCGGACUAAUACCGCAUAAAACAGGGGCACCGCAUGGUGAUAUUUGUUAAAGAAAUUCGCUGAUAGAUGGGCAUGCGUUCCAUUAGGUAGUUGGUGAGGUAACGGCUCACCAAGCCGACGAUGGAUAGGGGAACUGAGAGGUUGGUCCCCCACACUGGUACUGAGACACGGACCAGACUCCUACGGGAGGCAGCAGUGAGGAAUAUUGGUCAAUGGGCGGGAGCCUGAACCGGCCAAGUCGCGUGAAGGAAAAGAAGGAUCUAUGGUUCGUAAACUUCUUUUGCAGGGGAAUAAAGUGCAGGACGUGUCCUGUUUUGUAUGUACCCUGAGAAUAAGGAUCGGCUAACUCCGUGCCAGCAGCAGC
RNAcentral lists this ribosomal RNA (508 nucleotides) under uncultured bacterium. RNAcentral describes it as "bacterial SSU rRNA". It matches the Rfam family "Bacterial small subunit ribosomal RNA", at positions 19 to 518 of the family's 1533-position model. The record is from RNAcentral.